This 687-nucleotide long non-coding RNA is filed under the name Daucus carota (carrot). RNAcentral's name for it is "long non-coding RNA (DCAR_LNC000220)". Lineage: Eukaryota; Viridiplantae; Streptophyta; Magnoliopsida; Apiales; Apiaceae. The record is from RNAcentral.
CUUCCUCAAGUGAUGAGUACUUCCGAGAGGGCGCGCCCUAGGGAGGGACGUGACCUCUUCAAGACUAGUGAGCUCUUUCCUGAGUAUGUUUGUCUCUUCGGGAGGGCGCGCCUUGUUGGAGGAAAGUGCGACUACUCCUCAUGGAGAAGAGGUGUACUCCUCUUAAAGGUAACACCAUAUUACCUGUGAAUAAGUAUGUUUGUCUUCACAAAAUAUCAUAUGAAGCAAUUAAUGCAUCAGACAUACCAGAGGGCGCGCCCUGUCAGAGGGAGGCGCGCAAUUCGUUCUCUGAUAGAAUACUGGUUGGAUAUGGCUUCGGGAGGGCGCGCCUUGUUGGAGGAAAGUGCGACUACUCCUCACGGAGAAGAGGUGUACUCCUCUUAAAGGUAACACCAUAUUACCUGUGAAUUUACACAUGUAGUAGUCUUAGGGAACCAAAUACUGGGGGAGUUUAGUAUUUACCUGAGGGCGCGCCCGGUCAGGGGAAGGCGCGCAUCCUUACGACUUUUCGAGCUAGGUUCCAUCUCAAUAGCUCGCCCUUCGUAACUUUCCCGUUCAUAUCAUCACAUGUGGUCAGGCCUUCAACAUGCGCCUCUCGCGAACCUCAAAUUACUUGCUCUGGGGAGGGCGCGCCCCUUCAGAAAACCGUUGAGGCUUCCAGGGAGGCGAUCUCCUUCUCGUAAAGAC